This 452-nucleotide ribosomal RNA is filed under the name Escherichia coli. RNAcentral's name for it is "bacterial LSU rRNA". It matches the Rfam family "Bacterial large subunit ribosomal RNA", at positions 773 to 1222 of the family's 2925-position model. Lineage: Bacteria; Pseudomonadati; Pseudomonadota; Gammaproteobacteria; Enterobacterales; Enterobacteriaceae. The record is from RNAcentral.
ACCGAACCGACUAAUGUUGAAAAAUUAGCGGAUGACUUGUGGCUGGGGGGGAAAGGCCAAUCAAACCGGGAGAUAGCUGGUUCUCCCCGAAAGCUAUUUAGGUAGCGCCUCGUGAAUUCAUCUCCGGGGGUAGAGCACUGUUUCGGCAAGGGGGUCAUCCCGACUUACCAACCCGAUGCAAACUGCGAAUACCGGAGAAUGUUAUCACGGGAGACACACGGCGGGUGCUAACGUCCGUCGUGAAGAGGGAAACAACCCAGACCGCCAGCUAAGGUCCCAAAGUCAUGGUUAAGUGGGAAACGAUGUGGGAAGGCCCAGACAGCCAGGAUGUUGGCUUAGAAGCAGCCAUCAUUUAAAGAAAGCGUAAUAGCUCACUGGUCGAGUCGGCCUGCGCGGAAGAUGUAACGGGGCUAAACCAUGCACCGAAGCUGCGGCAGCGACGCUUAUGCGUU